GAUGAACGCUGGCGGCGUGCCUAAUACAUGCAAGUCGAGCGUACAGACGAGGAGCUUGCUCCUCUGACGUUAGCGGCGGACGGGUGAGUAACACGUGGAUAACCUACCUAUAAGACUGGGAUAACUUCGGGAAACCGGAGCUAAUACCGGAUAAUAUAUUGAACCGCAUGGUUCAAUAGUGAAAGACGGUUUUGCUGUCACUUAUAGAUGGAUCCGCGCCGCAUUAGCUAGUUGGUAAGGUAACAGCUUACCAAGGCAACGAUGCGUAGCCGACCUGAGAGGGUGAUCGGCCACACUGGAACUGAGACACGGUCCAGACUCCUACGGGAGGCAGCAGUAGGGAAUCUUCCGCAAUGGGCGAAAGCCUGACGGAGCAACGCCGCGUGAGUGAUGAAGGUCUUCGGAUCGUAAAACUCUGUUAUUAGGGAAGAACAAAUGUGUAAGUAACUAUGCACGUCUUGACGGUACCUAAUCAGAAAGCCACGGCUAACUACGUG
RNAcentral lists this ribosomal RNA (497 nucleotides) under uncultured bacterium. RNAcentral's name for it is "partial 16S ribosomal RNA". It matches the Rfam family "Bacterial small subunit ribosomal RNA", at positions 28 to 507 of the family's 1533-position model. The record is from RNAcentral.